Molecule: ribosomal RNA, 253 nt
Filed under: uncultured bacterium
Lineage: Bacteria
Description: partial 16S ribosomal RNA
Rfam family: Bacterial small subunit ribosomal RNA
Source: RNAcentral
UACGUAGGCAGCAAGCGUUGUUCGGAAUUACUGGGCGUAAAGCGAGUGUAGGCGGUUCGAUAAGUUUGGUGUGAAAUCUCCCGGCUCAACUGGGAGGGUGCGCCGAAUACUGAAUGACUAGAGUGCGGGAGAGGAAAGUGGAAUUCCUGGUGUAGCGGUGAAAUGCGUAGAUAUCAGGAGGAACACCGGUGGUGUAGACGGCUUUCUGGACCGUAACUGACGCUGAGACACGAAAGCGUGGGUAGCAAACAGG